This 392-nucleotide ribosomal RNA is filed under the name uncultured bacterium. Its description in RNAcentral is "partial 16S ribosomal RNA". It matches the Rfam family "Bacterial small subunit ribosomal RNA", at positions 523 to 917 of the family's 1533-position model. The record is from RNAcentral.
AUACGGAGGAUCCGAGCGUUAUCCGGAUUUAUUGGGUUUAAAGGGAGCGUAGGUGGACAGUUAAGUCAGUUGUGAAAGUUUGCGGCUCAACCGUAAAAUUGCAGUUGAUACUGGCUGUCUUGAGUACAGUAGAGGUGGGCGGAAUUCGUGGUGUAGCGGUGAAAUGCUUAGAUAUCACGAAGAACUCCGAUUGCGAAGGCAGCUCACUGGACUGCAACUGACACUGAUGCUCGAAAGUGUGGGUAUCAAACAGGAUUAGAUACCCUGGUAGUCCACACAGUAAACGAUGAAUACUCGCUGUUUGCGAUAUACAGUAAGCGGCCAAGCGAAAGCAUUAAGUAUUCCACCUGGGGAGUACGCCGGCAACGGUGAAACUUAAAGGAAUUGACGGG